CCUACGGGUGGCAGCAGUAGGGAAUAUUGCUCAAUGGGGGAAACCCUGAAGCAGCAACGCCGCGUGGGGGAUGACGGUUUUCGGAUUGUAAACUCCUUUUGUUCGGGGAGCUAAUGACGGUAUCUGACGAAUAAGCACCGGCUAACUCCGUGCCAGCAGCCGCGGUAAUACGGCGGGUGCAAGAGUUACUCGGAAUAACUGGGCGUAAAGAGCGCGUAGGCGGGAUAGCAAGUCAGAUGUGAAAUCCUAUGGCCUAACCAUAGAACUGCAUUUGAAACUGUUAUUCUAGAGUAUGGGAGAGGUAGGUGGAAUUCGUGGUGUAGGGGUAAAAUCCGUAGAGAUCAAGAGGAAUACUCAUUGCGAAGGCGACCUGCCAGAACAUAACUGACGCUGAUGCGCGAAAGCGUGGGGAGCAAACAGGAUUAGAUACCCGAGUAGUC
This 440-nucleotide ribosomal RNA is filed under the name uncultured bacterium. Its description in RNAcentral is "partial 16S ribosomal RNA". It matches the Rfam family "Bacterial small subunit ribosomal RNA", at positions 338 to 795 of the family's 1533-position model. The record is from RNAcentral.